RNAcentral lists this ribosomal RNA (329 nucleotides) under uncultured bacterium. RNAcentral describes it as "partial 16S ribosomal RNA". It matches the Rfam family "Bacterial small subunit ribosomal RNA", at positions 355 to 676 of the family's 1533-position model. The record is from RNAcentral.
UGGGGAAUAUUGGACAAUGGGCGAAAGCCUGAUCCAGCCAUGCCGCGUGUGUGAAGAAGGUCUUCGGAUUGUAAAGCACUUUAAGUUGGGAGGAAGGGCAUUAACCUAAUACGUUAGUGUUUUGACGUUACCGACAGAAUAAGCACCGGCUAACUCUGUGCCAGCAGCCGCGGUAAUACAGAGGGGGCAAGCGUUAAUAGGAAUUACUGGGCGUAAAGCGCGCGUAGGUGGUUUGUUAAGUUGGAUGUUAAAUCCCCGGGCUCAACCUGGGAACUGCAUUCAAAACUGACUGACUAGAGUAUGGUAGAGGGUGGUGGAAUUUCCUGUGU